RNAcentral lists this long non-coding RNA (347 nucleotides) under Phoenix dactylifera (date palm). RNAcentral's name for it is "long non-coding RNA (PDAC_LNC000116)". Lineage: Eukaryota; Viridiplantae; Streptophyta; Magnoliopsida; Arecales; Arecaceae. The record is from RNAcentral.
ACCACAUGUACCAAGUAUCAGUACGAAAUUGGUGGUAGAAGAAGGUGGCGAACACACAGUAGGAUGUCAAUGCAGUAGCCCUCGAGUCAACCAAACUCGGACCAGGCCCGAAGGUAUUUGGACGAAGCCUCACCCUAUUCGAUUUUUUUAAGGUCGGACUAGGCUAAGACAAUGUUUUUUCUUUUUUUAAAAAAUAAGAAGAGUGUUUUGGGAAUUGAGAGGAGGCCUCGAUUUUUUUUUUGUUGCUAAAAACGGAUAUUUCAUAUACUACGAGAACAAAUACACCCAGUAAAAUCAACAAACAAUAAGUCACACAGUGCCCCAGGCAAUUUCUCUUCUUCUGCUCA